This 253-nucleotide ribosomal RNA is filed under the name uncultured bacterium. Its description in RNAcentral is "partial 16S ribosomal RNA". It matches the Rfam family "Bacterial small subunit ribosomal RNA", at positions 524 to 776 of the family's 1533-position model. The record is from RNAcentral.
UACGAAGGUCCCAAGCGUUAUCCGGAUUUACUGGGCGUAAAGGGCUCGUAGGCGGCCAACUAAGUCAGACGUGAAAUCCCUCGGCUUAACCGGGGAACUGCGUCUGAUACUGGAUGGCUGGAGUUUGGGAGAGGGAUGCGGAAUUCCAGGUGUAGCGGUGAAAUGCGUAGAUAUCUGGAGGAACACCGGUGGCGAAGGCGGCAUCCUGGACCAAUACUGACGCUGAGGAGCGAAAGCCAGGGGAGCAAACGGG